UUGUGGAUGAUAUUGAGGGGCCCGGAUUUAAGAUAGAAAGAAGAAGAAAAAAUGUUUAUGAAAUGGGAGAUGAGAAGAUGAACAGACUAUACCGGAAGAGUGGCUCUGAUACCUCUUGAUACGCCUUAGAAAGGAUCACUCAACCGGAUUGGAAAAGAUAUGAACUCCGAAGGAGAUCUGAUGGAUUGAUGGGUCGCAAAAAGGUUUCGGAUUGGCCUUUGAUACUCCUGAACCAGAUCGUUGCCGGAUGUGACGCACUGGUCCAACAAAGUGGCUAUCUCGAACCGUUGCUUGAUAUGACUCACAAGACCAACGGACAAGAAGAGUUUGCUUGGAGCUAACCACACCAAGAAAACAAGAGAAGUUCUAAUCGAAGAACAAAGAGUAAAGACUCAAAAAGUUGAACGAAAAUGGAAUGAUUUUAUUAUGAGAAGUGUUUGCAUAUUUAUACUAGAAAGAGACAUAAGAAUAUAUUAAUGAUAGAUCUAGAAAUCGGAUCUGGAUCAGAAAAUUAAAGACAAUGUAUUUGGAUCUCAGAUCUGGUCAAAGAGACUCUUUGGCUAACGUCCAGGUUCGUCUGAACUUAGUGGUUCCUUCGCGGUAAGGAGCAGGACGGUCUUGGCGCGAUCCGGACAGUCCGUUGGGUAAGGCUCAUGCGCCAACUUGGUUCUAGCACGACCCAAGUCUU
RNAcentral lists this long non-coding RNA (688 nucleotides) under Brassica napus (rape). Its description in RNAcentral is "long non-coding RNA (BNAP_LNC011570)". The record is from RNAcentral. Lineage: Eukaryota; Viridiplantae; Streptophyta; Magnoliopsida; Brassicales; Brassicaceae.